GUAAGGAAUAUUGGUCAAUGGGGGCAACCCUGAACCAGCCAUGCCGCGUGAAGGAUGAAGGCGUUAUGCGUUGUAAACUCCUUUUAUAUGGGAAGAACCGUCCUCAUUAAUGAGUGACCUGACGGUACCAUAGGAAUAAGCACCGGCUAACUCCGUGCCAGCAGCCGCGGUAAUACGGAGGGUGCAAGCGUUAUCCGGAUUCACUGGGUUUAAAGGGUGCGUAGGCGGAUAAAUAAGUCAGUGGUGAAAUCAACGGGCUCAACCUGUUAACUGCCAUUGAUACUGUGUAUCUUGAAUAUGAGAGAGGUAGGCGGAAUGUUGCAUGUAGCGGUGAAAUGCUUAGAUAUGCUACGGAACACCGAUUGCGAAGGCAGCUUACUAUUUCGUAAUUGACGCUGAGGCACGAAAGCGUGGGUAGCGAACAGGAUUAGAAACCCGAGUAGUCC
This 446-nucleotide ribosomal RNA is filed under the name uncultured bacterium. Its description in RNAcentral is "partial 16S ribosomal RNA". It matches the Rfam family "Bacterial small subunit ribosomal RNA", at positions 354 to 796 of the family's 1533-position model. The record is from RNAcentral.